This 406-nucleotide ribosomal RNA is filed under the name uncultured bacterium. RNAcentral describes it as "partial 16S ribosomal RNA". It matches the Rfam family "Bacterial small subunit ribosomal RNA", at positions 30 to 526 of the family's 1533-position model. The record is from RNAcentral.
AUUGAACGCUGGCGGCAGGCCUAACACAUGCAAGUCGAGCGAGCGGCGGACGGGUGAGUAAUGUAUGGGGAUCUGCCCGAUAGCGGGGGAUAACUACUGGAAACGGUGGCUAAUACCGCAUACUAGCGGCUGGACCCAUAUUGGAUUAGCUAGUCGGUGGGGUAAAGGCUCACCUAGGCGACGAUCCCUAGCUGGUCUUAGAGGAUGACCAGCCACACUGGCACUGAGACACGGUCCAGACUCCUACGGGAGGCAGCAGUGGGGAAUAUUGCACAAUGGGGGCAAGCCUGAUGCAGCCAUGCCGCGUGUAUGAAGAAGGCCUUCGGGUUGUAAAGUACUUUCAGCGCGUAGGCGUUGCUCGCAGAAGAAGCACCGGCUAACUCCGUGCCAGCAGCCGCGGUAAUAC